GUGAAUUUCUUUGCUCACUCUUGUUUGUCCUGCUCAGUGCGUCCAGGCUGCCCUGCAACGAAGAUCCUUAAUUUAGAGUCUUUCCACUUCUUUCUGUUGGUGAGGAUGUACGGGAGCAACAAGUCAAAUUACACAAGAGGAGGCUGCCUAAGGAAACCGACACGAACCUCCGUCAUCAAACAGCCACCACACAUCAAUGGUGCCUUUAGGCUGCUUCUUCUUGAACUGAGUGCUGGCCUGCAACAACUUCUCAUUCAUCUUGGCAACCUGCUGGGGCGGAGGGCCACACACUGACACUAUAAGAGAGAGAGAAGGAGAAAGUUGUGAGAAAUGAGAGCACAACAGUAGAAGGGAAUGUAAUUCAUUGACGGGGCGAGCAGAGUUGAGUUAGAUGGGAAAACUCGCACGAACCAACAUUAGGAGCUGACUCCACAUCAGCGGGAACAGCCAUCGCUCAGGUCUAAUGUUCCAAUGAGUGGGACACAGAUUGUAUACUAACGACCGGCGCUACCUUGCCAAGAUGCAGCUCAGUGUGUGUUUGUGUGCGUGACACAGAGACGGAUAGAGUGAGAGUCUGCAGGCACCCUGUGCUGUCUGGGUUAAAGGAAUGCUCUGAAGGGAUGCUCUUCAAACUGGAACGAAAGGGACCAUAUUAUUGGAUUACACCCUGAGAGACCUCUUUAGUGGGAGUGGUUGAUUCAAUUAUAUCUCAAUGUGAUUGUAGAGAAAAUUCCGAAAAAAAGAUGUGAGUCAUUGCUUUCAUUUGUUAAAUGUAUGUUAUUUUGUCCUGCGACUCGGUGGGAAUGUGAGUGCACGUGGAGGAGAGGGAGACAGAGGCCUACUUUUUCAAUAUAUUUAAAGUCACACUCAUCUAUUAAUGCAACCUUGGCUUUGGAUAGCUUCGUUUUUAUGUAAUUUCAGAGAGAGACAAAUCAUUUCUAGAUGGAUACCUCUGGUUGCUAGCACUUGCUGAGAGGAUUUCCUGUUCUUCCUGAACAGUCCUUUUCCUUUCCUUUCGUUUGCCCUCAUCUCCUUCUCCAGGUCCCGUUGCUCCUUCACCGCCUUUAGCAUCUCAUCUGAAAGACAAAAUCAGAUUUCCAUUGCUGUCAGUGUAUCAUUCAUUACUCAGAAUCCUCAUGUCAAAAGCGCAGCAAUAAACCGGAAGUUAUUUUAGCCCCUUA
Long non-coding RNA from Acanthochromis polyacanthus (spiny chromis), 1181 nucleotides. RefSeq lists it as uncharacterized. The transcript has 2 exons. Lineage: Eukaryota; Metazoa; Chordata; Actinopteri; Pomacentridae. The record is from RefSeq and is a predicted model, not a curated record.